AAGAUUUAUUGCCUGAAGAGGAGCUCGCGUCUGAUUAGCUAGUUGGUGGGGUAAAGGCUUACCAAGGCGGCGAUCAGUAGCUGGUCUGAGAGGACGAUCAGCCACACUGGGACUGAGACACGGCCCAGACUCCUACGGGAGGCAGCAGUGGGGAAUUUUCCGCAAUGGGCGAAAGCCUGACGGAGCAAGACCGCGUGAGGGAGGAAGGCUCUUGGGUUGUAAACCUCUUUUCUCAGGGAAGAAAAAAAUGACGGUACCUGAGGAAUCAGCAUCGGCUAACUCCGUGCCAGCAGCCGCGGUAAUACGGAGGAUGCAAGCGUUAUCCGGAAUCAUUGGGCGUAAAGCGUUCGUAGGUGGCCUUUCAAGUCUGCCGUUAAAGACAGUGGCUUAACCACUGAAAGGCGGUGGAAACUGAAAGACUAGAGUGCGGUAGGGGUAGAGGGAAUUCCCGGUGUAGCGGUGAAAUGCGUAGAGAUCGGGAAGAACACCAGUGGCGAAAGCGCUCUACUGGGCCUGCACUGACACUGAGGGACGAAAGCUAGGGGAGCGAAUGGGAUUAGAUACCCCAGUAGUCCUAGCCGUAAACGAUGGAUACUAGGUGUUGCUCGUAUCGACCCGAGCAGUGCCGUAGCCAACGCGUUAAGUAUCCCGCCUGGGGAGUACGCACGCAAGUGUGAAACUCAAAGGAAUUGACGGGGGCCCGCACAAGCGGUGGAGUAUGUGGUUUAAUUCGAUGCAACGCGAAGAACCUUACCAGGGCUUGACAUGUCCGGAAYCUUCUGGAAAGGGAAGAGUGCCUUCGGGAGCCGGAACACAGGUGGUGCAUGGCUGUCGUCAGCUCGUGUCGUGAGAUGUUGGGUUAAGUCCCGCAACGAGCGCAACCCUCGUUCUUAGUUGCCAGCAUUCAGUUGGGCACUCUAGGGAGACUGCCGGUGACAAACCGGAGGAAGGUGGGGAUGACGUCAAGUCAGCAUGCCCCUUACGUCCUGGGCUACACACGUACUACAAUGCUACGGACAGAGGGCAGCUACCUCGCGAGAGGCGGCAAAUCCCAUAAACCGUGGCUCAGUUCAGAUCGCAGGCUGCAACUCGCCUGCGUGAAGGCGGAAUCGCUAGUAAUCGCCGGUCAGCAUACGGCGGUGAAUCCGUUCCCGGGCCUUGUACACACCGCCCGUCACACCAUGGGAGCUGGCCACGCCCGAAGUCGUUACUCCAACUGUUCGCAGAGGAGGACGCCGAAGGCAGGGCUGGUGACUGGGGUGAAGUCGUAACAAGGUAGCCGUACCGGAAGGUGUGGCUGGAUCACCUCCUUUUUAGGGAGACCAACUCUGGAGUCACGAGUCAGUAGUGAUGAGUUGAAAAAGAUCAACUCAACACUCAAAACUCAAAACUCACAGAGACAUCCCUUGGUCGGUCGAGAUACGCUCCCUGGCUUUCAAACUAUUCACGGUUCGGAUUAUGGGCUAUUAGCUCAGGUGGUUAGAGCGCACCCCUGAUAAGGGUGAGGUCCCUGGUUCGAGUCCAGGAUGGCCCACCUGUUGAGUAGUUAUGAGUUACACGCAAAGAGUAAGGCGACAAAAAUCAACUCAAAACUCAAAAUUUUUGACGGGGGUAUAGCUCAGUUGGUAGAGCGCCUGCUUUGCAAGCAGGAUGUCAGCAGUUCGAGUCUGCUUACCUCCACCAAACAAUCAGCUACGGCUAGUAAAAUCCAAACAGCUAGUUGAUUAAAUCAACAAAAAGGCUGUGGAUUCACUAGGGAGUGGCAAACAGCAAAAGAAAUUGCUAAAGUAAAAAAGUUGGAUAAAGGCUUCAGCAACUGGACUUAAGUAAAAACUAAGUCGGCCUGCUGGACUCGCGUCCAGUGUGAACCUUGAAAACUGCAUAGUAACAGAUAAAGUUAGUCUAGAGAAAGACGUCUAAAACAGGCGUCCAGUAUCUUCAAGACAAAAGACAAUCAAAGCAAGAUAAACUUUGUGGUCAAGCUACAAAGGGCUGAUGGUGGAUACCUAGGCACACAGAGGCGAAGAAGGACGUGGCGACCGACGAAACAUUCCGGGGAGCUGGAAGCAAGCGGUGAUCCGGAAAUAUCCGAAUGGGACAACCCCUAGUACUACCGACUGAAUCAAUAGGUCGGCAAGAGCCAACCCAGCGAAUUGAAACAUCUUAGUAGCUGGAGGAAGAGAAAGAAAAAUCGAUUCCCCUAGUAGCGGCGAGCGAAGCGGGAAGAGCCUAAACCAUCGGGUAUACCUGAUGGGGUAGUGGGACAGCAACAAGGAAUCCGGAAGCUAGACGAAGCAGUUGGGAUACUGCACAAAACAAGGUGAAAGUCCUGUAGUCAAAAGUGGAAAGAUACAAGCUGAAUCCCGAGUAGCAGGGGACACGGGAAAUCCCCUGUGAAUCAGCGAGGACCAUCUCGUAAGGCUAAAUACUCCUGUGUGACCGAUAGUGAACCAGUACCGCGAGGGAAAGGUGAAAAGAACCCCGAAAGGGGAG
This 2493-nucleotide unclassified non-coding RNA is filed under the name Porphyrosiphon annulatus NNIBR FBCC-A1260. RNAcentral describes it as "partial contains 16S ribosomal RNA, 16S-23S ribosomal RNA intergenic spacer, and 23S ribosomal RNA". The record is from RNAcentral. RNAcentral also lists the same sequence under 3 other names. Lineage: Bacteria; Bacillati; Cyanobacteriota; Cyanophyceae; Oscillatoriales; Microcoleaceae.